GACGAACGCUGGCGGCGUGCCUAAUACAUGCAAGUUGAGCGCUGAAGGUUGGUACUUGUACCAACUGGAUGAGCAGCGAACGGGUGAGUAACGCGUGGGGAAUCUGCCUUUGAGCGGGGGACAACAUUUGGAAACGAAUGCUAAUACCGCAUAAAAACUUUAAACACAAGUUUUAAGUUUGAAAGAUGCAAUUGCAUCACUCAAAGAUGAUCCCGCGUUGUAUUAGCUAGUUGGUGAGGUAAAGGCUCACCAAGGCGAUGAUACAUAGCCGACCUGAGAGGGUGAUCGGCCACAUUGGGACUGAGACACGGCCCAAACUCCUACGGGAGGCAGCAGUAGGGAAUCUUCGGCAAGGGACGAAAGUCUGACCGAGCAACGCCGCGUGAGUGAAGAAGGUUUUCGGAUCGUAAAACUCUGUUGGUAGAGAAGAACGUUGGUGAGAGUGGAAAGCUCAUCAAGUGACGGUAACUACACAGAAAGGGACGGCUAACUACGUG
RNAcentral lists this ribosomal RNA (497 nucleotides) under uncultured bacterium. RNAcentral's name for it is "partial 16S ribosomal RNA". It matches the Rfam family "Bacterial small subunit ribosomal RNA", at positions 28 to 507 of the family's 1533-position model. The record is from RNAcentral.